CAAAAAUACAUAAGUGGCCUCCAGUGCUUUGUUUGGUUAGAGUCUAGCAAAGAGAUAUGAGCAUAAAGACCUGAGGAGCAGCAGGCAACAUCACCAUUCCUAGGAUGGCUCUGGCCAUCCCUUGCCAAAUUAAUUUCUAUUUGCUUAGGAUCAUCAAGUGAGAGUCAAAUCCUUCUUUACCCUGAUAUUGAAAAUAAUGGAGACAGGAUCAACUGUUCCAUAGGCUAAGGUGGUGAGAGAGUUCUGAAGAGAACCUGUGCCUGCAUUUGAGGUGAUACUGAGGGGAAGGAGACAAAGUCAGAAGGAUGUUGAUUCUGAAAAAGCUUUGAAGGUCUCUCAGCACAUCAAAAUACCAGUAUAGGGUAUCAAUUUCUG
Molecule: long non-coding RNA, 375 nt
Organism: Heterocephalus glaber (naked mole-rat)
Lineage: Eukaryota; Metazoa; Chordata; Mammalia; Rodentia; Bathyergidae
Source: Ensembl